Molecule: ribosomal RNA, 253 nt
Filed under: uncultured bacterium
Lineage: Bacteria
Description: partial 16S ribosomal RNA
Rfam family: Bacterial small subunit ribosomal RNA
Source: RNAcentral
UACAGAGGGGGCAAGCGUUGUUCGGAAUUACUGGGCGUAAAGGGCUCGUAGGCGGCCAACUAAGUCCGACGUGAAAUCCCAAGGCUUAACCUUGGAACUGCGUCGGAUACUGGAUGGCUUGAAUUCGGGAGAGGGAUGCAGAAUUCCAGGUGUAGCGGUGAAAUGCGUAGAUAUCUGGAGGAAUACCGGUGGCGAAGGCGGCAUCCUGGACCGACAUUGACGCUGAGGAGCGAAAGCGUGGGGAGCAAACAGG